Non-coding RNA from Cyanistes caeruleus (blue tit), 411 nucleotides. The record is from RefSeq and is a predicted model, not a curated record. Lineage: Eukaryota; Metazoa; Chordata; Aves; Passeriformes; Paridae.
AACAGACCAGAAAGAAACAAGCUCACACAUGCCUGGGAUUAUUCACCACUCUCACAGGAACUGGUUCCUGUCAGCCUUUAGCUGCUACAUCACAGGUGCACAGUGGUUUGAAUGGCCAAGCAGGCAGCAUCAUUGUCUGGAGGUUAGGCAGCAGUUCCUCCAUCACCAGAUUGCUCAGGAUCUGUAUGGUCAGAAGAUGAAAAUGACAAGUUCACACCCUGUUCAUUACCUGAAGGCUGAGCACUGCAGCACAGAGUGAUGUGUGCAGGCAUCACACAGUGGCUCAGCUUCCCUCCCAGCUGCCAGGAAUCACCCACAGAGGCUUUGCACUCCCUCUGCCUAGAUUUGAACUGCAACUUCUUCCUUACCUGUCCAACUUAAAUGCACCAAAUAAAUAUGCAAGACUCAAUA